Molecule: ribosomal RNA, 1295 nt
Filed under: metagenome
Description: bacterial SSU rRNA
Rfam family: Bacterial small subunit ribosomal RNA
Source: RNAcentral
AGUUGGGUAACUGACUAGCGGAAGUGGCGAAAGGGGCAGUAAUAUAUGGGUAGCUACCCUGGGGUUGGGCAUAGCCGUUCUAACGGACGGGUAAUUCCCAGCGAUGUCGAAAGACCAAAGCUCCGGCGCCCUGGGAGGUGCCCAUAUCGUAUUAGGUAGUUGGUGAGGUAACGGCUCACCAAGCCGAAGAUGCGUAGCGGGUGUGAGAGCACGACCCGCGCCACUGGCACUGAGACACUGGCCAGACACCUACGGGUGGCUGCAGUCGAGGAUCUUCGUCAAUGGGCGAAAGCCUGAACGAGCGAUGCCGCGUGUGCGAUGAAGGCCUUCGGGUUGUAAAGCACAAAAGAGAUAAGAAAGGGUAACUUGAUCGAAUCUCAGUAAGCUCGGGCUAAGUUCGUGCCAGCAGCCGCGGUAAGACGAACCGAGCGAACGUUGUUCGGAAUCACUGGGCUUAAAGGGCGCGUAGGCGGGUUUCUAAGUCCGUGGUGAAAUACCUCAGCUCAACUGAGGAACUGCCUCGGAUACUGGAAGCCUCGAGGGUGGUAGGGGUAUGCGGGACUAUCGGUGGAGCGGUGAAAUGCGUUGAUAUCGAUAGGAACUCCGGUGGCGAAGGCGGCAUACUGGACCACAUCUGACGCUGAGGCGCGAAAGCCAGGGGAGCAAACGGGAUUAGAUACCCCGGUAGUCCUGGCCCUAAACGUUGGGUACUAGCUAGUAGGGUUCACAUGACUUUACUGGCGAAGCAAAAGUGCUAAGUACCCCGCCUGGGGAGUAUGGUCGCAAGGCUGAAACUCAAAGGAAUUGACGGGGGCUCACACAAGCGGUGGAGCAUGUGGCUUAAUUCGAGACUACGCGAAGAACCUUAUCCUAGACUUGACAUGUGCGAUAGCGUUGGGCGGUAGCUACCGGAAACGGAUAGUGAUUCCUCGCAGGAGGAGGACCCAAUACAGGUGCUGCAUGGCUGUCGUCAGCUCGUGUCGUGAGAUGUCGGGUUAAGUCCCUUAACGAGCGAAACCCUUACUUCUAGUUACUACAGGUCAUGCUGAGGACUCUAGAGGGACUGCCGGUGUCAAACCGGAGGAAGGUGGGGAUGACGUCAAGUCCUCAUGGCCUUUACGUCUAGGGCUGCACACGUGCUACAAUGGUGUAAACAAAGGGACGCCAAGGCGCAAGCCGGAGCAAAUCCCAAAAAUGCACCCCAGUUCAGAUCGAGGGCUGCAACUCGCCCUCGUGAAGUUGGAAUCGCUAGUAAUCGCGGGUCAGCAACACCGCGGUGAAUGUGUUCCUGAGCC